This 72-nucleotide transfer RNA is filed under the name Ovis aries (sheep). It matches the Rfam family "tRNA". From Rfam's summary of the family: Transfer RNA (tRNA) molecules are approximately 80 nucleotides in length. Their secondary structure includes four short double-helical elements and three loops (D, anti-codon, and T loops). Further hydrogen bonds mediate the characteristic L-shaped molecular structure. tRNAs have two regions of fundamental functional importance: the anti-codon, which is responsible for specific mRNA codon recognition, and the 3' end, to which the tRNAs corresponding amino acid is attached (by aminoacyl-tRNA synthetases). tRNAs cope with the degeneracy of the genetic code in two manners: having more than one tRNA (with a specific anti-codon) for a particular amino acid; and 'wobble' base-pairing, i.e. permitting non-standard base-pairing at the 3rd anti-codon position. The record is from Rfam by way of RNAcentral. Lineage: Eukaryota; Metazoa; Chordata; Mammalia; Artiodactyla; Bovidae.
UCCCUAGUUGCUUAGACGGUAAAGCGUCUGUCUACAACGCAGGAGAUCCAGGUUCAAUCCCUGGGUUGGGAA